This 253-nucleotide ribosomal RNA is filed under the name uncultured bacterium. RNAcentral's name for it is "partial 16S ribosomal RNA". It matches the Rfam family "Bacterial small subunit ribosomal RNA", at positions 524 to 776 of the family's 1533-position model. The record is from RNAcentral.
UACGUAGGGGGCAAGCGUUGUCCGGAAUCAUUGGGCGUAAAGAGCGUGUAGGCGGUUCGGUAAGUCGGCUGUGAAAGUCCAGGGCUCAACCCUGGGAUGCCGGUCGAUACUGCCGGACUAGAGUUCGGAAGAGGCGAGUGGAAUUCCCGGUGUAGCGGUGAAAUGCGCAGAGCUCGGGAAGAACAUCGGUGGCGAAAGCGCUCUGCUGGACUGCAACUGACACUCAGGGACGAAAGCUAGGGGAGCGAAUGGG